UUCCUACGGGGGGCAGCAGUGGGGAAUAUUGGACAAUGGGGGAAACCCUGAUCCAGCAACGCCGCGUGGAGGAUGAAGGUCUUCGGAUUGUAAACUCCUGUUAGGGGGGACGAAGGGAUGCCGGCGAACAGUCGGCAAACUUGACGGUACCCCCAGAGGAAGCCCCGGCUAACUCUGUGCCAGCAGCCGCGGUAAUACAGAGGGGGCAAGCGUUAUUCGGAAUUAUUGGGCGUAAAGGGCGCGUAGGCGGCCUUGUAAGUCUUGGGUGAAAUCCCUCAGCUCAACUGAGGAACUGCCUCGGAUACUGCAGGGCUUGAGGCCGGGAGAGGGUAGUGGAAUUCCCAGUGUAGCGGUGAAAUGCGUAGAUAUUGGGAGGAACACCGGUGGCGAAGGCGGCUACCUGGACCGGUUCUGACGCUGAUGCGCGAAAGCGUGGGGAGCAAACAGGAUUAGAUACCCGAGUAGUCC
RNAcentral lists this ribosomal RNA (468 nucleotides) under uncultured bacterium. RNAcentral describes it as "bacterial SSU rRNA". It matches the Rfam family "Bacterial small subunit ribosomal RNA", at positions 336 to 796 of the family's 1533-position model. The record is from RNAcentral.